CUGCGUGAAGUUGGAAUCGCUAGUAAUCGCGGAUCAGCAUGCCGCGGUGAAUACGUUCCCGGGCCUUGUACACACCGCCCGUCACACCAUGAGAGUCGGGAACACCCGAAGUCCGUAGCCUAACCGCAAGGGGGGCGCGGCCGAAGGUGGGUUCGAUAAUUGGGGUGAAGUCGUAACAAGGUAUC
Molecule: ribosomal RNA, 185 nt
Filed under: uncultured bacterium
Lineage: Bacteria
Description: partial 16S ribosomal RNA
Rfam family: Bacterial small subunit ribosomal RNA
Source: RNAcentral